UUUCGGGGUAGGGAGUAAAGCGGCGAACGGGUGAGUAAUGCGUAGGUAACCUGCCUCCGAGAGGGGAAUAACCUACCGAAAGGUGGGCUAAUGCCCCAUAAGCUCACAAUCACUACGGUGAUUGUGAGAAAAGAUGGCCUCUGCAUGCAAGCUGUCGCUCGGAGAGGGGCUUACGUCCUAUCAGCUAGUUGGUGAGGUAAUGGCUCACCAAGGCUACGACGGGUAGCCGGCCUGAGAGGGUGGUCGGCCACACUGGCACUGAGACACGGGCCAGACUCCUACGGGAGGCAGCAGUGGGGAAUAUUGGGCAAUGGGCGCAAGCCUGACCCAGUAACGCCCCGUGGGUGAUGAAGGCCUUCGGGUCGUAAAGCCCUGUCAGGUGGGAAGAAUAUCUGAUGGGUAAAUAGCCCAUUGGAUUGACGGUACCGCCAGAGGAAGCACCGGCUAACUCCGUGCCAGCAGCCGCGGUAAUACGGAGGGUGCAAGCGUUACUCGGAAUUACUGGGCGUAAAGGGCGCGUAGGCGGGAAGGCAAGUUGAGCGUGUAAGCCUGAGGCUCAACUUCAGAAUGGCGCUCAAAACUGCCUUUCUUGAGUC
Molecule: ribosomal RNA, 596 nt
Filed under: uncultured bacterium
Lineage: Bacteria
Description: bacterial SSU rRNA
Rfam family: Bacterial small subunit ribosomal RNA
Source: RNAcentral